This is a long non-coding RNA of Neogale vison (American mink), 333 nucleotides long. RefSeq lists it as uncharacterized. The transcript is spliced from 2 exons. The record is from RefSeq and is a predicted model, not a curated record. NCBI's taxonomy places the organism in Eukaryota, Metazoa, Chordata, Mammalia, Carnivora, Mustelidae.
CUCAUUUCUAUGUCUUUCAUGGGGUCUGACACCUACACCUGUAGCACAGUAGGUGCUCAAUAAGCAUUUCACGAACACAUGAGUUGGUCAUCAGGAAGAGAUGACAGUCACAGACCAGAAAAUCUACCUUGAGCUGUGGAUCCCUAAGAAGAAACGUCUGAUCCAAUAGCUGGUCUCAGGGUCCAUAGAUGCUUACUAAGGCCACCUGGGUGGAGAGAGGGCUGUGGCUACAGACAGACCUUGUAGUAUUGUGAUCUGCCUGUGUGACUCUGAUUGAGUUGUCUGCAUUGCCCCAUGCCUCAGUUUCCCCUCAAUAAAAUCAAGUAAGUGGUC